RNAcentral lists this ribosomal RNA (495 nucleotides) under uncultured bacterium. Its description in RNAcentral is "bacterial SSU rRNA". It matches the Rfam family "Bacterial small subunit ribosomal RNA", at positions 899 to 1397 of the family's 1533-position model. The record is from RNAcentral.
ACUCAAAGGAAUAGACGGGGGCCCGCACAAGCAGUGGAGUAUGUGGUUUAAUUCGAAGCAACGCGAAGAACCUUACCAAGGCUUGACAUCCCGCGCAUAUCCAAGAGAUUGGAGAAGUCUUUCGGGACGCGGUGACAGGUGGUGCAUGGUUGUCGUCAGCUCGUGUCGUGAGAUGUUGGGUUAAGUCCCGCAACGAGCGCAACCCCUGUUGUUAGUUGCCAUCAUUUAGUUGGGCACUCUAGCAAGACUGCCGGUGACAAAUCGGAGGAAGGUGGGGACGACGUCAAAUCAUCAUGCCCCUUAUGUCUUGGGCUACACACGUACUACAAUGGCUAAAACAGAGGGAAGCGAAGGAGCAAUUCGGAGCGAAACCCCAAAUAUAGUCCCAGUUCGGAUUGUGGGCUGAAACCCGCCCACAUGAAGUCGGAAUUGCUAGUAAUGGCAGGUCAGCAUACUGCCGUGAAUACGUUCCCGGGCCUUGUACACACCGCCCGU